Carcharodon carcharias (great white shark) is the source of this 4684-nucleotide RNA transcript. It is a transcript of the gene named isoamyl acetate hydrolyzing esterase 1 (putative), with no coding region annotated. NCBI's taxonomy places the organism in Eukaryota, Metazoa, Chordata, Chondrichthyes, Lamniformes, Lamnidae. The record is from RefSeq and is a predicted model, not a curated record. The transcript has 7 exons.
CCUGAAGGCGGUGAUGAGCGCGCUCCGGGGGAAGAAGCGAGGCCGAGUACACUUCCGGGACCAUGUCGGGCUGCGCUCUCCUGUGGCCCCGAGUCAUCUUGUUCGGAGACUCCAUCACUCAGCGUUCCUUUGAUCAAGGAGGGUGGGGUGCCGCAAUCGCAAACAGACUUGUUCGGAAGUGUGAUGUGCUGAACCGUGGUUUAUCAGGGUAUAACUCAAGAUGGGCCCUCAAUGUUUUGCCAAAGAUUAUUACUCAACCUGCUAAUCAUGAGACCAUUGCUGCUGUUGCAGUUUUUUUUGGAGCAAAUGACUCUGCUUUGAAAGAUGUGAACCCAGUGCAACAUAUUCCUCUCACUGAGUAUGCUGAAAAUCUGAAAUGUAUAAUCCAAUACCUGAAAUCUAUAGGCGUUUGUGAAGAAAAAGUGAUCAUGAUAACACCACCUCCACUGGAUGAGUCAGCUUGGGAAAAGGAGUGCAUUGCCAAGGGUAGUAUAUUGAACAGACAUAAUUCAGUAACCAACCAGUAUGCUGGGGUCUGUGUCAAAGUAGCAACAGAAUGUGGGACUGAUGUGCUUGAUCUCUGGACGUUGAUGCAAAUGGAGAACCAGGAAUUUUCCUCAUAUCUUUCGGAUGGAUUACAUUUAUCAGAGAAAGGAAAUGAGUUUCUGGAAACCCAUUUGUGGCCCCUGUUGGAAAAAAAAAUUAAAAGACUGCCAAUGAUCCUGCCUCACUGGAGUGACGUAGAUCACCUGAACCCCGAAGCCAGCCUACUGGUGUAAUUGAACCACACAGAGGGUUUCAACACAUUGAGCAUGUCUGGACUCAUGUUCCAUUGAACUUGGAAGCUACAGAACAUAGUUUACUAAGAGUGGCAGUAAACGCACACAACAUACCGGAUGGAUAUAUCAUUGAUACAACUGGUGCACUUGCAGAGCAACUUCAACUCAGCCUGGAGACCCUCUUGUUUCUGCCUCCAAUGAGUCGUCAGGCAACAGGACUCGAGCUCAAAUUGCCCCAACGACUACUCGUCUCCCAGGUGCUCAAAUCUCUUCUCCCAAGACUGCAUCACACUGAGUUUUCAAGGCUGCACCCCAGCAUCUAAACACACGAUCCCAGGUCUUUAGCUGCACUGAACAGAUGACCACUUCAGCUUCACCGAACUUACAACUGUUCCUCAGGAAUUUUUUGUGCCCCAGUUCCCGAGCUGCACUAAGCAGACAACCACUGCUCAUGGGCAUUCCGUGCCCCAACUUCAUGAAGUUGGCAACCAUUUCAGUUUCCCUCAGCCAAAAACUGCUCCUCACUGCUGCUUGAACUGAUGUGUCCUGUCAAAUCUUACAUCAGAACUUAGCCUCUGUUCUGAAGCAAGGUCUGAUGUAUCAAAACUUGUUACAUUCUGUAACUUAAAUGUUACAAUCUCCAGUCAACCAAUGCUCAUUCCCACAGGUACUAACUUACAUUGGCUCCACACUCUCAUACAAGUCCAGUUACAGGUCACUUCUUUUUCCAUCUCAACAUAUUUAUAACUCGGAUGUUCCUGGAUUAAGUUUAAUGUCAUCAAUCAUAGCAAAAAGUAUGGAUUAGCAUUCACCUACUGAAAGACAUUUCAAUUAACAAUGAGAAAAGCACAAUGAAGUUUAAAUUUCUCAUAUCUAACCAAGGAAAGUCCAGUGAUGGCUCCUGUAAGUCCUGUCAUAAAUUCCUGCUCCAGCCAAGAAAAUUGGGAGGACGAAAUUUGCAGAAAAAUUGUGGUAAACGGGCGAUCAAUUUAACCCAAAGCAGUGACCAACUCCAGAGCCAGUCGGAGAUGUUGGAAAUGGUUGGCACUUAGACAGAUGCUUCUUCAGUUUAAGUAAGAGAUUCCCACAAAUCAGUGGGCAUGUUGCAUUAAUUCAGGAAGGCUGCUGAAGACAUCCCUGAAACAUUUCCUCUGCCCUCCUGGUAACCGCUUGCUGUGACAAAGCUUGGAGUAGAGAGCUUUUUUUUUUGGAGUCUUGUGUCAGGCAUGCGGACAAUGUGGCACACCCAACCUAACCAGUGCCUCGAUACUGGGGCUGUUGGCCCAAGAGAGAACACUGACACUGGAGUGCCUAUCCUGCCAUUGAAUUUACAGGAUUUUGUGGAGGCAUCGCUGGUAAUAUUUCCCCGGGUAUAUACAAAGUCUGCUGUAUGUUGCCCAUGUCUCUGAUGCAUUCAGGAGUGAAGCUGGCACUGCAGUCCUUCAGACUAUGAGCUUGGUGCAGGGUUUGAGUUAUUUGUCACCAAACACUCUUUUGCUCAGAUGGCCAAAGGCUGCACUGGCAGACUGGAAGCAAUGUUGAAUUUGAUCAUCGAUGCCUGCCCUCACUUAGAUAAAGCUCCCAAGGUAUGAGAAAUGAUCCCAUUGUCCAAUGGUUCGCCAUGGAUCUUGGUAGUUGGAGGGCAGCGUUGAAUAGCGGGAGCAGGCUGAUAAAGGACCUUAGUCUUCUGGAUGUUUAGCCUAAGGUCCAUUCUUUCAUCUAUCUCCGUGAUAAUUUGGAGCUUAGCCUGUGUGCGUGCAUGCACAAGUGUCGUCAGCAAAGCAGUAACCAAUUCCAAAUUUUUUUUUAAAUAUAUAAAGCAAAUCAAAUGAGGUGAUGGAUCCAAGAAAAGCCUUCACUGCCCUUCUGCAUGGGUUUGAAAAUUGUAGAAUCCUAAAGCAAAACCUUGCUGAGGCCUUGGUUAAAAUCAGCUAACUCAACACAGACCAGUAACUAAACUUGGAAUGAUUUUAAUCUCUACCGUCGGAACUACACACAAAUUGUACUUACCCAAGAAGCCAUUUUGGAUGCAUGUCAAAGAUAUUGCAACUAAUCAGUUUAUUAUAGCUAUAAUAAUCUUCAUAGGGUAAGCAUUCUAAUAGUUUUUAAAUUCAACUUAAAACAUUGUUAUUUUACUCUUAAUCGAUUUAAUCCAUUACUACCUACUUUGUUAGAAAUCACAUGACUCAUAUACAAUGGUCUGCUGAUGCUUUUUUGACAUAGGGCAUCAACACAACAGUGUAACCACGCAGUGUGUUAAUAUAACAAUGUGCUCUACUUCAGGGCACUAAGCAGACAGACUUGCAAACAUAUCUCCAUUCUGAGAGUUUGACUAUACCUACAGUAAUUUAGGGGCUAACAGACAUCACUUCAGAUUUUCUUUUGACAGAAUUAAUAGUCACUGGCAUGUGAAAAAGUUACUCGACACAAUAUUAAGGUGGUUAGCAUUUAACUCAUCGAUAAGGUUUGUCAACUAUUCUUAGGUAAAUCUAGUAUGUAAUGCCAACAUGGCAUAACUCAUUCUAUAAUUUAGCUUUACUAAACACAACUGUACUUCACCUGAAGCCAACUAGUUUAAAAAGGUACACAAAGUUUGGAAACAAUUUUUGACAUCACAAAUUUAACUUAGUGGGAGGACAAAUUUGAGAUUUUUUUUUGAGGAUGGACAAAUCAAUGUGGAGGAACAUGAGCAGAAUGUGAUCUUACCAAAGGUGUUGAUAUCUAAUUUCUCAAUGAAAUCCCAGAAUCGUUCUAUGACAUCUUGUACUUGUUUUUCACAUUUGCCCUGUAGAUGCAAACAGAAAAGAAAAAGAAACUACAUUUCCACUAUUAGGUCAAUGCAAAAGCUUUUUUCAGGUACAUGUCAAUGUGAAAGUGACAGCAUUACUUUGCUUUUUUUUUGGACAGCAGUUGAUGGUUCUACUGUCGUCAUUUAUACCUUCUCUAGAUUUUAACUGGCGCAUUAUCAUCUCCCUUUGCCUUGCAUCAUCUGUCAUGUAAUUUCUCCUGCCUUCCCUUUUGUUAUUUCUUCUCCCCACUUCCCAUGUACUUGCUUAGAACCUGUUACAUUUCUUAACCUUUGUCAGAAAGGUAAUUAAUCUGAAACAUUAACUCUUUUGCUCUCCACAGAUCCUGCCUGACCUGAGCUUUUCCAGUAUUUUCUGUUUAGUCAGAUUCAGAUCUAACUCUUGAUAUAACUGACCAACUAGCUUGUGUUGGUGGCAACGGUUCAGGGCUGAAUGUUGGUCAGAACACUGGGAAGCUCUAAUCUUAUAUCUUAAUAAUGCUAUGUUAAUCUGGGAAGGGAAAAUGGAUUUAGAUAUGAAGUCUCAUCCAGAAGACAGUGCUUCCAAAAAUGCCACACUUUCUCUGGGCUAUUUCCAUUACAGCAGAGAAAGCUAAGAGAAUGACCCAUUUAUGACUACUCUAUUUCCUGUUAGCUAACCAACUCUCUAUACAUGCUAAUAUUUUACCCCCUACACUAUGAGCUCAUUUUGUAUCGUAACCUUUGAUGUGGAACCUUGUCAAAUGUUUUCUGAAAACCUGUAGAUCACAUCCAUAGGUUCCCCUUUAUCCAUGUUGCUUGUUAUUUCCUAAAAGAUCUCUAAUAAAUUAGUCAAACACGAUUUCUCUUUCACAAAACCACGUUGACACUGACUGAUUGCAUUGAGAUUUUCUAAAUGCCUGCUAUAACUUCCUUAAUAAUAGAUUCCAUCAUUUUCCCUGUGACAUUUAAGCUAACUGGCCUGUAGUUUCCUGCCGUGUGUUCCCUCCUAUCUUGAAUCGGCAACAUUUAGAAUUCUAAAAUAUUCUAAAUAGAUAAGCAGUAUAUUAUUUAAAUGGAGAGAGAUUGCAGAACUCGGAGGUACAGAGGGAUCUGGGCGUCCCGGUACAUAAAUCUCAGA